ACACACACACACACACACACCAUAUUUUGGCACUGAACAUCGGAGGUUGUGUGUGCCUCCUCCUCCAGCACCUCCCACAGCCUCCCAGCACCCAUCCUGCAGGACACAAGAAAUGGGCGGCCCAGGAACAAGUUGGCAAGGACAUGAGGCAGCACUCAGCACCCCAUGAGAAGAGGAAGAUGUGGCACUACCUGGCACUCCCUUCCUAUGCUGCCCUCACGUGCGACACCCCAGCAUGCUGAGACACAACCUGUGGGAGUUGAAUCGAUGUUCAGCACCUCAGCCCAUAGAAGCACAAAAAGUGUUACCUUCACUAAUCUGAGGUAUGUGGCACUUCCGGUACUCCCUGCACUCCCUUCCUAUGCUACCCUUAUGUGUGAUACCCCAGUGUGCUGUGACACAACAGCCUGGCUCUCUCCCUGCCCAGCACACCACCAUCAACCAUCAGC
Eriocheir sinensis (Chinese mitten crab) is the source of this 449-nucleotide long non-coding RNA. RefSeq lists it as uncharacterized. The record is from RefSeq and is a predicted model, not a curated record. NCBI's taxonomy places the organism in Eukaryota, Metazoa, Arthropoda, Malacostraca, Decapoda, Varunidae. The transcript has 3 exons.